CGCAGCCGCGGUAAUUCCAGCUCCAAUAGCGUAUAUUAAAGUUGUUGCAGUUAAAAAAGCUCGUAGUUGAAUUUCGGGGGUCUGUCCGUCGGUCGGGCUUCACGGUCCGUACCGGUGUGAUGGGUUCCUACCUUCUGAAUAACCGGCAUGCUAUUCAGUUGGUGCGCCGGGGAAGCAGAGCUAUUACCUUGAAAAAAUUAGAGUGCUUAAAGCAGGCUAGUGCUUGAAUAGGUUAGCAUGGAAUAAUAAAUAGGACGGCAUGGUUCUAUUUUGUUGGUUUCUAGGAUCACCGUAAUGAUUAAUAGGGAUAGUUGGGGGCAUUAGUAUUCAAUUGUCAGAGGUGAAAUUCUUGGAUUUAUUGAAGACUAACUUCUGCGAAAGCAUUUGCCAAG
Molecule: ribosomal RNA, 392 nt
Filed under: uncultured Acaulospora
Lineage: Eukaryota; Fungi; Glomeromycota; Glomeromycetes; Diversisporales; Acaulosporaceae
Description: SSU rRNA
Rfam family: Eukaryotic small subunit ribosomal RNA
Source: RNAcentral